RNAcentral lists this ribosomal RNA (252 nucleotides) under uncultured bacterium. Its description in RNAcentral is "partial 16S ribosomal RNA". It matches the Rfam family "Bacterial small subunit ribosomal RNA", at positions 524 to 776 of the family's 1533-position model. The record is from RNAcentral.
UACGGAGGAUGCGAGCGUUAUCCGGAUUUAUUGGGUUUAAAGGGUGCGUAGGCGGGCUUUUAAGUCAGCGGUAAAAAUUCGGGGCUCAACCCCGUCCGGCCGUUGAAACUGGGGGCCUUGAGUGGGCGAGAAGAAGGCGGAAUGCGUGGUGUAGCGGUGAAAUGCAUAGAUAUCACGCAGAACCCCGAUUGCGAAGGCAGCCUUCCGGCGCCCUACUGACGCUGAGGCACGAGAGUGCGGGGAUCGAACAGG